Molecule: long non-coding RNA, 182 nt
Organism: Etheostoma spectabile (orangethroat darter)
Lineage: Eukaryota; Metazoa; Chordata; Actinopteri; Perciformes; Percidae
Exons: 3
Source: RefSeq, a predicted model, not a curated record
UUUAAAAGGUUGUGGUGAAUGGUUUGGGGGGAGAGGGAGGGGUUUAUUUUUCUUUUUGUUUACUUUGUUUUAAGUUUAAAAUGUUCUAAAUGAAUAACAUAAUGUUUUAAGUAAAUAGGAUAAAUAGGUUUGGAAUUAUUGUUACAACUGAAAUUCUUUCUUUUACAGUUAUGACAGAGAGG